GUCAAGCUACAAAGGGCUCACGGAGGAUACCUAGGCACACAGAGGCGAUGAACGGACGUGGUUUACCUGCGAUAAGUCUCGGGGAGUUGGAAGCACACUUUGAUCCGGGAAUUUCCGAAUGGGGCAACCCCAUGUACGGCCACUGAUAUAUAGGUUGGUGCGAGCUACCCAGCGAACUGAGCAUCUAGU
Molecule: ribosomal RNA, 189 nt
Filed under: uncultured Prochlorococcus sp.
Lineage: Bacteria; Bacillati; Cyanobacteriota; Cyanophyceae; Synechococcales; Prochlorococcaceae
Description: partial 23S ribosomal RNA
Rfam family: Bacterial large subunit ribosomal RNA
Source: RNAcentral